GUACCAUAACGGACACCACAGACCGUGCGGCUUAAACAACAGCAUCUUAUUUGCUUUUUUGUGGAGACUGGAAGCCUGGGAUCAAGGUGUCCAGAAUGGGCAAAUCCAGAGAAACGGAAGUCGGCUGGCGAUUGCCAGGGGCUGGUGGAAGGAAGGAGCAGGUGCUGACUCUUAAUGGGUUCAAGGUUUCUUCGGCCCGUGGUGAAAAAGUCCCGGAAUUACAUACUAGUGGUUGAUGUACAGCUUUGAGAAUAUGCUAAAAAGACUGAAUUGUAUCCUUUAAUAUUGGGGCUUUUAUGGUUUGUAAAUUCCUUUCAAUUUCAAAAGGAACUCAAGAACUUC
Non-coding RNA from Macaca mulatta (Rhesus monkey), 342 nucleotides. NCBI's taxonomy places the organism in Eukaryota, Metazoa, Chordata, Mammalia, Primates, Cercopithecidae. The record is from RefSeq and is a predicted model, not a curated record.